Molecule: ribosomal RNA, 321 nt
Filed under: Salmonella enterica
Lineage: Bacteria; Pseudomonadati; Pseudomonadota; Gammaproteobacteria; Enterobacterales; Enterobacteriaceae
Also listed under: 4 other names
Description: bacterial SSU rRNA
Rfam family: Bacterial small subunit ribosomal RNA
Source: RNAcentral
GAGUAAUGUCUGGGAAACUGCCUGAUGGAGGGGGAUAACUACUGGAAACGGUGGCUAAUACCGCAUAACGUCGCAAGACCAAAGAGGGGGACCUUCGGGCCUCUUGCCAUCAGAUGUGCCCAGAUGGGAUUAGCUUGUUGGUGAGGUAACGGCUCACCAAGGCGACGAUCCCUAGCUGGUCUGAGAGGAUGACCAGCCACACUGGAACUGAGACACGGUCCAGACUCCUACGGGAGGCAGCAGUGGGGAAUAUUGCACAAUGGGCGCAAGCCUGAUGCAGCCAUGCCGCGUGUAUGAAGAAGGCCUUCGGGUUGUAAAGUA